CAAGAUUUUCUUGGAGAGCUGGAGACCCACCCUGCUCAUGAUGGUGGGGGGAUUUUUUUUUUUUUUUUUUACCCCACAGCAUAACAUUGGCCAAGCGCAAAAUCUUUUUUUGUUUUUCCCUAGACUCUAAGGAUACUGGUGAAUAUUAGCAUACUGGGCUCCAAGCUCUUAUUGCUUAUUUUCUGGAAUUGAACAUCAAUUGAUCUUCUGGAAGUGAGCCAUGCACUGGGGUGCAAUCUAGACUUUUAAAGAAAGAUGGAGAACAAAAAACCCAGGAGGAGCCUUUCCUUAGUCUAUCUGUGAGCCAUAAUAUUGUCUAUUUAUGUGUUUUUAAAAUAUACAGUGAAAAAUUAUUUCUGUAUUCAGUGAAAUAUAUUAGCGGUGUGAAGAAGGAGGAACUCACCACCGUACUUAAAAUUCAAUUAGCUUGGCUCCAGGCUUGGCGUAAGAUUAUCUUGCAUAGUGAUUUUUUUUCUCUCCUUAAAUGCUCACAUUUUAUUCUCAACCAUUAAUAUAAAUGUUCAUGAUGAAAGAUCAAUAAAUGCCCUGGAAACUUUUUUUUUUUAAUUAAAGAAAUUUUGC
RNAcentral lists this long non-coding RNA (582 nucleotides) under Canis lupus familiaris (dog). RNAcentral's name for it is "lncRNA (ENSCAFG00805000009.1, ENSCAFG00845010736.1)". Lineage: Eukaryota; Metazoa; Chordata; Mammalia; Carnivora; Canidae. The record is from RNAcentral.